RNAcentral lists this ribosomal RNA (512 nucleotides) under Virgibacillus sp. ADMK55. RNAcentral describes it as "bacterial SSU rRNA". It matches the Rfam family "Bacterial small subunit ribosomal RNA", at positions 572 to 1081 of the family's 1533-position model. The record is from RNAcentral. Lineage: Bacteria; Bacillati; Bacillota; Bacilli; Caryophanales; Bacillaceae.
CAGGCGGUUCCUUAAGUCUGAUGUGAAAGCCCACGGCUUAACCGUGGAGGGUCAUUGGAAACUGGGGAACUUGAGUCCAGAAGAGGAGAGUGGAAUUCCCCGUGUAGCGGUGAAAUGCGUAGAUAUGUGGAGGAACACCAGUGGCGAAGGCGACUCUCUGGUCUGUAACUGACGCUGAGGCGCGAAAGCGUGGGGAGCGAACAGGAUUAGAUACCCUGGUAGUCCACGCCGUAAACGAUGAGUGCUAGGUGUUAGGGGGUUUCCGCCCACUUAGUGCUGCAGUUAACGCAUUAAGCACUCCGCCUGGGGAGUACGGCCGCAAGGCUGAAACUCAAAAGAAUUGACGGGGGCCCGCACAAGCGGUGGAGCAUGUGGUUUAAUUCGAAGCAACGCGAAGAACCUUACCAGGUCUUGACAUCCUCUGACAAUCCUAAAGAUAGGACUUUCCCUUCCGAGACAGAGUGACAAGUGGUGCAUGGUUAUCGUCCGCUAAUGUCGUAAGAUGUUGCGUU